Molecule: ribosomal RNA, 360 nt
Filed under: Triticum aestivum (bread wheat)
Lineage: Eukaryota; Viridiplantae; Streptophyta; Magnoliopsida; Poales; Poaceae
Description: partial small subunit ribosomal RNA
Source: RNAcentral
AGGGUAGUUUGGAGGACGAUGGGAUGUGUGUUUGGCACAGAUUUGUGCCCCGAUAACCUAUGGAAUUAUUUCUCCUGGUGCUAUAUCUUCUUACCUGAUGGGUCUAAGUUCUAUACGUUUGGUCUGGCUGCGAUUUGCUGGGCUAUGUGGAAUUGUCGUAAUCGGGCCACAUUCAAAUGCAAAAACCCGAGAACCCCUUUUGAUGUGGUUUUCUCUGCAUGUGGUUAUAUGAACUAUUGGGCAAGCCUGAUGGAGGGGACUGAUCGCGAGGCAAUGGAGCGCGGCGCCAAGAUGCUCAAGACCAACGCAGCGGCCAUGAUGAGGAUCUGUGUGGCCCUAGCUGGAACGGCGAUGGACUGA